RNAcentral lists this small nucleolar RNA (146 nucleotides) under Macleaya cordata. RNAcentral's name for it is "small nucleolar RNA snoR137". It matches the Rfam family "small nucleolar RNA snoR137". Lineage: Eukaryota; Viridiplantae; Streptophyta; Magnoliopsida; Ranunculales; Papaveraceae. The record is from Rfam by way of RNAcentral.
GUUGCUUCUUACUGGUGAACUCUCUUAAAUUACUAAAUGAGGGAUGUUCAUGUUUCAGAAGCAUAAAUUGGUAUGUUAUUGCCAGUAUUAAACAGCAUGAUGUAUUUAUCUUUCUUGCAUCAUGUUACCUGUCUCCUGGUAAAUUC